Rhinolophus ferrumequinum (greater horseshoe bat) is the source of this 1066-nucleotide long non-coding RNA. RefSeq lists it as uncharacterized. The record is from RefSeq and is a predicted model, not a curated record. The transcript is spliced from 3 exons. NCBI's taxonomy places the organism in Eukaryota, Metazoa, Chordata, Mammalia, Chiroptera, Rhinolophidae.
UCGGUGGCGAUGCGGCCCAGUGCAGCGUGCAUGGAGCGGGCACCUGCGUCGGGCACCCCGUAGGCCUCCGUCACCCUGUACUCGAGCUCCCAGCGCGCCUCUCCGCGCGCGUUCGCCUGGCUCAGGUUCAUGAAGUUCUGAAGGAAGGUCUUGGAAGCAUAAAGAAACAGCACCUUGGCUGGAAGUCAGCUCACCCAGAAGUGCCAACAGCCACGUUGGUUUGAGAGGGGUGUAUGGCAACUGCAGGGCCACAGAAGGACACAGAGCUGUGUGCGAGCCCACAUGAGACUUACCCAGGAAGAUGUUUUUCUAUUCUGUUACUCCAGCAGGAAGAAGGAAGAUAUUUUUCUUGUCUGGCAACCACUCAGCCAAUGAAAGACUGUUAUAACUCAUCCAAUGAAAAGCCACUGUACUUUGAACUACCAGUUUCCUCCAAUGGACUUUUUGUUUACAAAAGCCCCUCUGAACUUCCCCUUUCCUCUAUAAAAGCAUGUUACAUACUUUGUUCUCUGGAUUUGCUGUGGUUAACCAUUAGACCACAUAUUCUGAAUUGUAAUUCUUUUGUUGUUCCUGAAUAAACCCAUUUUGCUGGAGAAAUAUCUGGCUAUUUGUUUAAGGUCAAUAGUACAAACAUGGUCCUGCCACUUCCUAGGUGUGGAAUCUUGGGCAAAUGUAUGUCCCUCUGCGUUUCAUUUUCCUCAGCCACAAAAUGGAUAUUAUGAUAAUAGUACCCACUUUACAGGGACUAUAAAAAUCAAAUGUAUUUUUGUAUUUCACGUUUCAAAUGGGCAUGUAUCAAGCACCUUGCACAAGCAUGGCCCAUCAUAAGUGCUCAAUAAAUAAAUGUUAGCUCUUCUUGGCUAUUUUCCUUAAUGUUUGUUUGUUUUUAUAUAGCAUUAUUUUAAAAGAGAUUGAAAUUGUUCAGUGUGGGUGCAGGUCCAGAAUCAUAUAUUAACUAGAUGUGUAACCUUGGGUUAGUUACUUAACUUCUCUAAGGCUCAAUUUCCUUGAUAAUCCCUAUGUCACAAGACUAUUGUGAGGGCAUUAUGUAAUAAUUUCAGCAAUG